RNAcentral lists this ribosomal RNA (580 nucleotides) under uncultured marine group I thaumarchaeote. RNAcentral describes it as "bacterial SSU rRNA". It matches the Rfam family "Archaeal small subunit ribosomal RNA", at positions 1 to 588 of the family's 1478-position model. The record is from RNAcentral. Lineage: Archaea; Thermoproteati; Nitrososphaerota.
UUCUGGUUGAUCCUGCCGGACCUGACUGCUAUCGGAUUGAUACUAAGCCAUGCGAGUCAUUGUAGCAAUACAAGGCAGACGGCUCAGUAACGCGUAGUCAACCUAACCUAUGGACGGGAAUAACCUCGGGAAACUGAGAAUAAUGCCCGAUAGAACACUAUACCUGGAAUGGUUUGUGUUCCAAAUGAUUUAUCGCCGUAGGAUGGGACUGCGGCCUAUCAGUUUGUUGGUGAGGUAAUGGCCCACCAAGACUAUUACAGGUACGGGCUCUGAGAGGAGUAGCCCGGAGAUGGGUACUGAGACACGGACCCAGGCCCUAUGGGGCGCAGCAGGCGAGAAAACUUUGCAAUGUGCGAAAGCACGACAAGGUUAAUCCGAGUGGUUUCUGCUAAAGGAACCUUUUGUUAGUCCUAGAAACACUAACGAAUAAGGGGUGGGCAAGUUCUGGUGUCAGCCGCCGCGGUAAAACCAGCACCUCAAGUGGUCAGGAUGAUUAUUGGGCCUAAAGCAUCCGUAGCCGGCCCUGUAAGUUUUCGGUUAAAUCUGUACGCUCAACGUACAGGCUGCCGGGAAUACUGCA